AUACAGAGGGUGCGAGCGUUAAUCGGAAUUACUGGGCGUAAAGCGCGCGCAGGCGGAUUCAUUAGUCAGGUGUGAAAUCUCGGGGCUCAACCCCGAAACUGCGCCUGAAACUGUGAAUCUAGAAUCUCGGAGGGGGUUGGGGAAUUUCGCAUGUAGGGGUAAAAUCCGUAGAGAUGCGAAGGAACACCAGAGGCGAAGGCGCCGACCUGGACGAGUAUUGACGCUGAGGCGCGAAAGCGUGGGGAGCAAACAGGAUUAGAAACCCCUGUAGUCC
RNAcentral lists this ribosomal RNA (274 nucleotides) under uncultured bacterium. Its description in RNAcentral is "partial 16S ribosomal RNA". It matches the Rfam family "Bacterial small subunit ribosomal RNA", at positions 523 to 796 of the family's 1533-position model. The record is from RNAcentral.